Pelobates cultripes (western spadefoot toad) is the source of this 308-nucleotide non-coding RNA. Lineage: Eukaryota; Metazoa; Chordata; Amphibia; Anura; Pelobatidae. The record is from the annotation of a GenBank genome assembly.
GGUGACACGUUGCAGGACAUCAGGGGAGAGCUCUGGGAAGGAGAGAUAAAUCCAAAUCCAAAUGAGGUGAAGGAAUGAGGUAAUGGAAUCCAAAUGAGGUAAUAAGUUUGCCAAGACAGGCAUUGUAAAGAGAAGGGGACCAAGGACAGAGCCUUGGGGGACUCCAACUGAGUCAGGACGGUGGAGGUAUCAUUAGAAAAAGAGACACUGAAUGUUGGGAGAGAUAAGAGGAAAACCACGAGAGGACAGAGUCACAGAGACUGAGUGAUUGAAGAGUUUGGAGAUGGAGAACAUGAUCAACGGUGUCA